This 478-nucleotide ribosomal RNA is filed under the name uncultured bacterium. Its description in RNAcentral is "bacterial SSU rRNA". It matches the Rfam family "Bacterial small subunit ribosomal RNA", at positions 29 to 526 of the family's 1533-position model. The record is from RNAcentral.
AUUGAACGCUGGCGGCAUGCUUUACACAUGCAAGUCGAACGGCAGCGCGGACUUCGGUCUGGCGGCGAGUGGUGAACGGGUGAGUAAGACAUCGGAACGUGCCUGAAAGUGGGGGACAACCAGUCGAAAGAUUGGCUAAUACCGCAUACGAUCUACGGAUGAAAGAGGGGGACCUUAGGGCCUCUUGCUUUUAGAGCGGCCGAUGGCUGAUUAGCUAGUUGGUGGGGUAAAGGCCUACCAAGGCGACGAUCAGUAGCUGGUCUGAGAGGACGAUCAGCCACACUGGGACUGAGACACGGCCCAGACCCCUACGGGAGGCAGCAGUGGGGAAUAUUGCACAAUGGGGGAAACCCUGAUGCAGCGACGCCGAGUGAGGGAAGAAGGUUUUCGGAUUGUAAACCUCUGUCCCGGUUGAAGAUAAUGACGGUAGACCGGGAGGAAGCCCCGGCUAACUACGUGCCAGCAGCCGCAGUAAGAC